ACGAACGCUGGCGGCGUGCCUAAUACAUGCAAGUCGAACGGUCUUUCUAUGGAAGCUUGCUUCCACUGAGAAGAUAGUGGCGAACGGGUGAGUAACAACGUGGGGUAACCUGCCCAUAAGAGGGGGGAUAACAUCCGGAAACGGGUGCUAAUACCGCAUAGUUUUCUUGAUCGCAUGAUCGGGAAAGGAAAGACGGCCUUUGUGCUGUCGCUUAUGGAUGGACCCGCGGCGUAUUAGUUAGUUGGUGAGGUAACGGCUCACCAAGACGAUGAUACGUAGCCGACCUGAGAGGGUGAUCGGCCACAUUGGGACUGAGACACGGCCCAAACUCCUACGGGAGGCAGCAGUAGGGAAUCUUCCGCAAUGGACGAAAAUCUGACGGAGCAACGCCGCGUGAGUGAAGAAAAGGUUUUCGGACCGUAAAACUCUGUUGUCAGAGAAGAACAAGUUGGAGAGUAACUGCUCCAGCCUUGACGGUAUCUGACCAGAAAGCCACGGCUAACUACGUGCCAGCAGCCGC
Molecule: ribosomal RNA, 520 nt
Filed under: uncultured bacterium
Lineage: Bacteria
Description: bacterial SSU rRNA
Rfam family: Bacterial small subunit ribosomal RNA
Source: RNAcentral